RNAcentral lists this ribosomal RNA (463 nucleotides) under uncultured bacterium. RNAcentral's name for it is "partial 16S ribosomal RNA". It matches the Rfam family "Bacterial small subunit ribosomal RNA", at positions 28 to 507 of the family's 1533-position model. The record is from RNAcentral.
GAUGAACGCUGACAGAAUGCUUAACACAUGCAAGUCUUUGGCGAAGCUGUGCUUGCACAGCCUAGCCAAGGCGGACGGGUGAGUAACGCGUAAGGAACUUGCCCUGCAGUCAGGGAUAACAGACGGAAACGACUGAUAAGACCUGGUAAAGUCAGGCGGACUCAUGUCCAGCCUGAUGAAAAGAGAUGCUGCAGGAGAGCCUUGCGUCCUAUUAGCUUGUUGGUGGGGUAACGGCCCACCAAGGCGAUGAUAGGUAGCCGGCCUGAGAGGGUGGACGGCCACAAGGGGACUGAGAUACGGCCCUUACUCCUACGGGAGGCAGCAGUGGGGAAUAUUGGACAAUGGGGGCAACCCUGAUCCAGCAAUUCUGUGUGUACGAUGAAGGUUUUCGGAUUGUAAAGUGCUUUCAGCAGGGAAGAAAAAAAUGACGGUACCUGCAGAAGAAGCGACGGCUAAAUACGUG